AGAGUUUGAUCCUGGCUCAGGACGAACGCUGGCGGCGCGCCUAACACAUGCAAGUCGAACGGAGCUUAGAGAGCUUGCUUUUUAAGCUUAGUGGCGAACGGGUGAGUAACGCGUGAGUAACCUGCCCUAGAGUGGGGGACAACAGUUGGAAACGACUGCUAAUACCGCAUAAGCCCACGGUACCGCAUGGUACUGAGGGAAAAGGAUUUAUUCGCUUUAGGAUGGACUCGCGUCCAAUUAGCUAGUUGGUGAGGUAACGGCCCACCAAGGCGACGAUUGGUAGCCGGACUGAGAGGUUGAACGGCCACAUUGGGACUGAGACACGGCCCAGACUCCUACGGGAGGCAGCAGUGAGGAAUAUUGGUCAAUGGACGAGAGUCUGAACCAGCCAAGUAGCGUGAAGGAUGACUGCCCUAUGGGUUGUAAACUUCUUUUAUACGGGAAUAAAGUUAGCCACGUGUGGCUUUUUGUAUGUACCGUAUGAAUAAGGAUCGGCUAACUCCGUGCCAGCAGCCGCGGUAAUACGGAGGAUCCGAGCGUUAUCCGGAUUUAUUGGGUUUAAAGGGAGCGUAGGCGGGUUGUUAAGUCAGUUGUGAAAGCUUGCGGCUCAACCGUAAAAUUGCAGUUGAUACUGGCGACCUUGAGUGCAACAGAGGUAGGCGGAAUUCGUGGUGUAGCGGUGAAAUGCUUAGAUAUCACGAAGAACUCCGAUUGCGAAGGCAGCUUACUGGAUUGUAACUGACGCUGAUGCUCGAAAGUGUGGGUAUCAAACAGGAUUAGAUACCCUGGUAGUCCACACAGUAAACGAU
RNAcentral lists this ribosomal RNA (809 nucleotides) under uncultured bacterium. RNAcentral describes it as "bacterial SSU rRNA". It matches the Rfam family "Bacterial small subunit ribosomal RNA", at positions 8 to 810 of the family's 1533-position model. The record is from RNAcentral.